CUUUGCCAUCUUUUUCCGGGUAGUCAUGAGGUUGUAUAGGAGCUUUAAUAAGUACGAACGAUGGCCUAUUCACGGUGUGACUUCCUUAAACUAUGAUGUAGGUAUGCAUUUUAUUAUUUUUUUUUGCUGUUUUCCCUCCUACUGUCAGAGAGAGGGGACCACAUCACCACUACUACAACGAGAAGGCCAGGAACAACUAGAGCACCGUCAAAUCCUAUGGGUAAGACAAGCUCUCAGAGGAAAAAAGGAAGGGAGGAUUUUCCACAUCAGCUACCUGUUUCAGUGGGUAUCCUAGUUUGUGUUUCUACAGUGAUAAUUAAACACCAUGAUCAAAACCAA
This 339-nucleotide long non-coding RNA is filed under the name Rattus norvegicus (Norway rat). RNAcentral describes it as "long non-coding RNA NONRATT016444". Lineage: Eukaryota; Metazoa; Chordata; Mammalia; Rodentia; Muridae. The record is from RNAcentral.